RNAcentral lists this ribosomal RNA (450 nucleotides) under uncultured bacterium. RNAcentral describes it as "partial 16S ribosomal RNA". It matches the Rfam family "Bacterial small subunit ribosomal RNA", at positions 354 to 796 of the family's 1533-position model. The record is from RNAcentral.
GUGGGGAAUUUUGGACAAUGGGCGCAAGCCUGAUCCAGCAAUGCCGCGUGUGUGAUGAAGGCCUUCGGGUUGUAAAGCACUUUUGGCAGGAAAGAAAUAGUGCGUGCUAAUACCAUGCGCGAAUGACGGUACCUGCAGAAUAAGCACCGGCUAACUACGUGCCAGCAGCCGCGGUAAGACGUAGGGUGCAAGCGUUAAUCGGAAUUACUGGGCGUAAAGCGUGCGCAGGCGGUUUUGUAAGACAGGUGUGAAAUCCCCGGGCUCAACCUGGGAACUGCACUUGUGACUGCAAGGCUAGAGUGUGUCAGAGGGAGGUGGAAUUCCGCGUGUAGCAGUGAAAUGCGUAGAGAUGCGGAGGAACACCGAUGGCGAAGGCAGCCUCCUGGGAUAACACUGACGCUCAGGCACGAAAGCGUGGGGAGCAAACAGGAUUAGAAACCCGUGUAGUCC